This 476-nucleotide long non-coding RNA is filed under the name Salmo salar (Atlantic salmon). Its description in RNAcentral is "lncRNA (ENSSSAG00000110446.1)". The record is from RNAcentral. Lineage: Eukaryota; Metazoa; Chordata; Actinopteri; Salmoniformes; Salmonidae.
AAUUGAGACCUAGACAACCAGGUGAGGGGAGUUCCUUACUGAGACCUAGACAACCAGGUGAGGGGAGUUCCUUACUGAGACCUGGACAACCAGGUGAGGGGAGUUCCUUACUGAGACCUAGACAACCAGGUGAGGGGAGUUCCUUACUGAGACCUGGACAACCAGGUGAGGGGAGUUCCUUACUGAGACCUGGACAACCAGGUGAGGAGAGUUCCUUACUGAGACCUAGACAACCAGGUGAGGAGAGUUCCUUACUGAGACCUAGACAACCAGGUGAGGAGAGUUCCUUACUGAGACCUAGACAACCAGGUGAGGGUAGUUCCUUACUAAUUAGUGACCUUAAUUAAUCAAUCAAGUACAAGGUAGAAGCGAAAACCCACAGACACUCUGCCCUCAGUGGAAUGAGUUUGACACGUGGCCUAUGGAUAUGGAUACAUUGAAAUGUUUCUUAAAGAAGAAAUAUGAAAUGCAUAACC